Molecule: long non-coding RNA, 332 nt
Organism: Drosophila mojavensis
Lineage: Eukaryota; Metazoa; Arthropoda; Insecta; Diptera; Drosophilidae
Exons: 2
Source: RefSeq, a predicted model, not a curated record
GUCGUCGUCGUUGUAGCCGCCCCCAACACACACCCCGCUAGCUUAAUAUAUAUACACAUACAAAUAUAUAUGAUUUUUUUUCUCGUAUUUUUCCAUUUCUUUUGCGCUCUCCCAGUUGCGGUCGUCGUUGGCGUCGCUGUCGCUGCCAACGUCAACGGCGCUGCUUGGCUUGGCCGCUCGCUUUCAUGGGGUUCUUGAGCGUAUGCAAAAGAUUUUUGCACAUAUUCAUCUUUUUGGCCGUUUUCGGUGCUUUUUGACUGUUUGGAACAUUUUUAAAGAUUACGUUAAAACGUUGUUGAUACUUAUUAAAAAUAUUGUUUUGUUAAUUAUAA